This 548-nucleotide ribosomal RNA is filed under the name uncultured bacterium. Its description in RNAcentral is "bacterial SSU rRNA". It matches the Rfam family "Bacterial small subunit ribosomal RNA", at positions 76 to 609 of the family's 1533-position model. The record is from RNAcentral.
GAGCUUGCUCCUUUGAUUUAGCGGCGGACGGGUGAGUAACACGUGGGUAACCUACCCUAUAGACUGGGAUAACUUCGGGAAACCGGAGCUAAUACCGGAUAAUACUUUUGAACACAUGUUCGAAAGUUGAAAGAUGGUUUCGGCUAUCACUAUAGGAUGGACCCGCGGCGCAUUAGCUAGUUGGUGGGGUAAUGGCUCACCAAGGCAACGAUGCGUAGCCGACCUGAGAGGGUGAUCGGCCACACUGGGACUGAGACACGGCCCAGACUCCUACGGGAGGCAGCAGUAGGGAAUCUUCCACAAUGGACGAAAGUCUGAUGGAGCAACGCCGCGUGAGUGAAGAAGGAUUUCGGUUCGUAAAACUCUGUUGCAAGGGAAGAACAAGUAGCGUAGUAACUGGCGCUACCUUGACGGUACCUUGUUAGAAAGCCACGGCUAACUACGUGCCAGCAGCCGCGGUAAUACGUAGGUGGCAAGCGUUGUCCGGAAUUAUUGGGCGUAAAGCGCGCGCAGGUGGUUCUUUAAGUCUGAUGUGAAAGCCUCCGGCU